RNAcentral lists this ribosomal RNA (818 nucleotides) under uncultured bacterium. Its description in RNAcentral is "bacterial SSU rRNA". It matches the Rfam family "Bacterial small subunit ribosomal RNA", at positions 30 to 846 of the family's 1533-position model. The record is from RNAcentral.
CGAACGCUGGCGGCGUGCUUAACACAUGCAAGUCGAACGGUGACAUCGGGGCUUGCCCCGGUCGAUCAGUGGCGAACGGGUGAGUAACACGUGAGUAACCUGCCCCAGACUUCGGGAUAACUUCGGGAAAUCGGAGCUAAUACCGAAUACGAGACGUACCCGCAUGGGUAGUGUCUGGAAAGAUUUAUCGGUCUGGGAUGGACUCGCGGCCUAUCAGCUUGUUGGUGAGGUAAUGGCUCACCAAGGCGACGACGGGUAGCCGGCCUGAGAGGGCGACCGGCCACACUGGGACUGAGAUACGGCCCAGACUCCUACGGGAGGCAGCAGUGGGGAAUAUUGCACAAUGGGCGAAAGCCUGAUGCAGCGACGCCGCGUGAGGGAUGAAGGGCUUCGGGUUGUAAACCUCUUUCAGCAGGGAAGAAGCGAAAGUGACGGUACCUGCAAAAGAAGCGCCGGCUAACUACGUGCCAGCAGCCGCGGUAAUACGUAGGGCGCAAGCGUUGUCCGGAAUUAUUGGGCGUAAAGAGCUCGUAGGCGGUUUGUCACGCCUGCUGUGAAAACUCGAGGCUCAACCUCGGGCUUGCAGUGGGAACGGGCAGACUAGAGUGCGGUAGGGGAGACUGGAAUUCCUGGUGUAGCGGUGGAAUGCCCAGAUAUCAGGAGGAACACCGAUGGAGAAGGCAGGUCUCUGGGCCGCAACUGACGCUGACGAGCGCAAGCCUGGGGAGCGGAACAGGAUUAGAUACCCUGGGUAGCCCCAUGCCGUAAACCUUUGGGCACUAGGGUGUGGGGGCUCCAUUCACACGAAGUUUCCGGAC